RNAcentral lists this transfer RNA (71 nucleotides) under Loxodonta africana (African savanna elephant). It matches the Rfam family "tRNA". Rfam says of the family: Transfer RNA (tRNA) molecules are approximately 80 nucleotides in length. Their secondary structure includes four short double-helical elements and three loops (D, anti-codon, and T loops). Further hydrogen bonds mediate the characteristic L-shaped molecular structure. tRNAs have two regions of fundamental functional importance: the anti-codon, which is responsible for specific mRNA codon recognition, and the 3' end, to which the tRNAs corresponding amino acid is attached (by aminoacyl-tRNA synthetases). tRNAs cope with the degeneracy of the genetic code in two manners: having more than one tRNA (with a specific anti-codon) for a particular amino acid; and 'wobble' base-pairing, i.e. permitting non-standard base-pairing at the 3rd anti-codon position. The record is from Rfam by way of RNAcentral. Lineage: Eukaryota; Metazoa; Chordata; Mammalia; Proboscidea; Elephantidae.
GCAGUGGUAGCUCACUGAUGGGAUUCUCACCUUCCACGUGGGAGACCUGGGUUCGAUUCUCGACUACUGCA